This 1272-nucleotide ribosomal RNA is filed under the name Triticum aestivum (bread wheat). RNAcentral's name for it is "partial small subunit ribosomal RNA". Lineage: Eukaryota; Viridiplantae; Streptophyta; Magnoliopsida; Poales; Poaceae. The record is from RNAcentral.
CUCUCCCCGUCGCCCCGGCCCCCGGCUCACCCGCAGGUGCGUCUCCCAUCGCCCUACGGCCAGAUCCCCUCCGGCGCCGCGGCCCACCACGCGCGCUCGCUCUCGCAGCCCCUCUUCUUCUCUCUCGACUCGCUCCCACCGCCGCCGUACGCCGAUCUGGCCGGCCCGCCCGCCAUCCCGCCCUCCCCGCCGUCUUCAAGCUCCGACCCGCCGUCCUUCGGCCUGCCGCCGCGGAGGGCUGGCCACCGCCGCUCUCAGAGCGACAUCCCCUUCGGGUUCUCGCAGCUCAGCCCGCCCCUGCCGCCCCCGGCGCCGGUGAAGCGCGAGGCGGCCACGGGGCAGGAUGGCGGCAGAUUGGAGGGCGACGACGCUGCGUUGUACGACCUUGUCAACGCCUACAUGGACCUGGACGGGAUGGACGCGCUCAACUCCUCCGAGGACCGCCACGACGACCGUGACAUUCACAGCCGUGCCAGCGGCACCCGCGCUGCCAGCGCGGCCGAGAGCAGCGAGAACGAAGCCGAGAGCCAGUCCACCUCAGCGGAGAGGAAGGACGGAGCCAAGUCUCGGCAUUGUCGCAGCUUGUCCAUGGACAGCUUCAUGGGGAAGCUCAACUAUGCCACAGGUGACGAGUCGCCAAAGCUACCACCGCCGUCCCCCAGCGGUGGCCUUUCCAGGAGCGGGAGUGGGUCCUUGGACGGUGGUGGUGCUGCGUCACUGUUUGGUACCGAGUUCACCAACGGGGAGUUCACUGAGGCUGAGAAGAAGAAGAUCAUGGCAAAUGAACGCCUCGCAGAGAUAGCUUUGACAGACCCUAAGAGGGUCAAGAGGAUUUUGGCAAAUCGCCAGUCUGCGGCAAGGUCAAAGGAGCGCAAGAUGAGGUACAUUCAAGAACUCGAGCAUAAGGUACAGGUCUUGCAGACAGAGGCGACUACGCUUUCAGCACAAUUGACAAUGCUGCAGAGGGACUCUGGAGGACUUGCAACUCAGAACAAUGAGUUGAAAAUAAGGCUGCAAGCAAUGGAGCAACAGGCGCAGCUGAGAGAUGCUCUGAAUGAAGCACUAACGGGUGAGGUCCAGCGGCUGAAACUUGCAACCGGUGAGAUUACGGAUGCUCGUAUGUCGAAGGCGGGCCUACAGCAGCAGAUGAACUCCCAGCUGAUUCAAAUGCAGCAGCUGCAAAUACAGCAGCAGCAACAGCAGCAGUCAUCACAGACGCAGCAGGCUCAGCAACAACACCAGCAGCAGCAGCAGUCGCAGCAAUCAGCAUAG